CUACGGGUGGCUCCAGUGGGGAAUCUUGCGCAAUGGGCGAAAGCCUGACGCAGCAACGCCGCGUGCGGGAUGAAGGCCUUCGGGCUGUAAACCGCUUUCAGCAGGAACGAAAAUGACGGUACCUGCAGAAGAAGGAGCGGCCAACUACGUGCCAGCAGCCGCGGUGACACGUAGGCUCCAAGCGUUGUCCGGAUUUAUUGGGCGUAAAGAGCUCGUAGGCGGUUGAGUAAGUCGGGUGUGAAAACUCUGGGCUUAACCCGGAGACGCCAUCCGAUACUGCUCUGACUAGAGUUCAGGAGGGGAGUGGGGAAUUCCUAGUGUAGCGGUGAAAUGCGCAGAUAUUAGGAGGAACACCGGUGGCGAAGGCGCCACUCUGGACUGAAACUGACGCUGAGGAGCGAAAGCAUGGGUAGCAAACAGGAUUAGAUACCCCAGUAGUC
This 440-nucleotide ribosomal RNA is filed under the name uncultured bacterium. Its description in RNAcentral is "partial 16S ribosomal RNA". It matches the Rfam family "Bacterial small subunit ribosomal RNA", at positions 339 to 795 of the family's 1533-position model. The record is from RNAcentral.